UGAGGAAUAUUGGUCAAUGGGCGCAAGCCUGAACCAGCCAUCCCGCGUGAAGGAAGAAGGCGCUAUGCGUUGUAAACUUCUUUUCCAGGGGGUGAAUUUUCCGGUCGUGACCGGGAUUGACGGUACCCUGGGAAUAAGCAUCGGCUAACUCCGUGCCAGCAGCCGCGGUAAUACGGAGGAUGCAAGCGUUAUCCGGAUUUAUUGGGUUUAAAGGGUGCGUAGGCGGAUCAAUAAGUCAGUGGUGAAAACCUGCAGCUUAACUGUAGAUGUGCCGUUGAUACUGUUGGUCUUGAGUAUGGUCAAGGUAGGCGGAAUGUGUAAUGUAGCGGUGAAAUGCUUAGAUAUUACACAGAACACCGAUUGCGAAGGCAGCUUGCUGGGCCAUUACUGACGCUGAUGCACGAAAGCGUGGGGAUCGAACAGG
This 424-nucleotide ribosomal RNA is filed under the name uncultured Bacteroidota bacterium. Its description in RNAcentral is "bacterial SSU rRNA". It matches the Rfam family "Bacterial small subunit ribosomal RNA", at positions 355 to 776 of the family's 1533-position model. The record is from RNAcentral. Lineage: Bacteria; Pseudomonadati; Bacteroidota.